GAUGAACGCUGGCGGCGUGCCUAAUACAUGCAAGUCGAGCGAACAGACGAGGAGCUUGCUCCUCUGACGUUAGCGGCGGACGGGUGAGUAACACGUGGAUAACCUACCUAUAAGACUGGGAUAACUUCGGGAAACCGGAGCUAAUACCGGAUAAUAUAUUGAACCGCAUGGUUCAAUAGUGAAAGACGGUUUUGCUGUCACUUAUAGAUGGAUCCGCGCUGCAUUAGCUAGUUGGUAAGGUAACGGCUUACCAAGGCAACGAUGCGUAGCCGACCUGAGAGGGUGAUCGGCCACACUGGAACUGAGACACGGUCCAGACUCCUACGGGAGGCAGCAGUAGGGAAUCUUCCGCAAUGGGCGAAAGCCUGACGGAGCAACGCCGCGUGAGUGAUGAAGGUCUUCGGAUCGUAAAACUCUGUUAUUAGGGAAGAACAGAUGUGUAAGUAACUGUGCACGUCUUGACGGUACCUAAUCAGAAAGCCACGGCUAACUACGUG
RNAcentral lists this ribosomal RNA (497 nucleotides) under uncultured bacterium. RNAcentral's name for it is "partial 16S ribosomal RNA". It matches the Rfam family "Bacterial small subunit ribosomal RNA", at positions 28 to 507 of the family's 1533-position model. The record is from RNAcentral.